RNAcentral lists this transfer RNA (67 nucleotides) under Micromonospora ureilytica. RNAcentral's name for it is "tRNA-Arg". Lineage: Bacteria; Bacillati; Actinomycetota; Actinomycetes; Micromonosporales; Micromonosporaceae. The record is from RNAcentral.
GGCCCCGAGCCGGCAAAGGAUCAGAGGAUUCCUAAACCGUGUGUCGCAGGUUCGAAUCCUGCCGGGG